RNAcentral lists this ribosomal RNA (496 nucleotides) under uncultured bacterium. RNAcentral's name for it is "partial 16S ribosomal RNA". It matches the Rfam family "Bacterial small subunit ribosomal RNA", at positions 28 to 506 of the family's 1533-position model. The record is from RNAcentral.
GAUGAACGCUGGCGGCGUGCCUAAUACAUGCAAGUCGAGCGAACAGACGAGGAGCUUGCUCCUCUGACGUUAGCGGCGGACGGGUGAGUAACACGUGGAUAACCUACCUAUAAGACUGGGAUAACUUCGGGAAACCGGAGCUAAUACCGGAUAAUAUAUUGAACCGCAUGGUUCAAUAGUGAAAGACGGUUUUGCUGUCACUUAUAGAUGGAUCCGCGCCGCAUUAGCUAGUUGGUAAGGUAACGGCUUACCAAGGCGACGAUGCUUAGCCGACCUGAGAGGUUGACCGGCCACACUGAACCGGAGACACGUUCCGGACUCCUCCGGGAGGCAGCAGUGGGGAAUCUUCCGCAAUGGGCGAAAGCCUGACGGAGCAACGCCGCGUGAGUGAUGAAGGUCUUCGGUUCGUAAACCUCUGUUAUUGGGGUAGAACAAAUGUGUAAGUAACUAUGCCCGUCUUGACGGUACCUAAUCAGAAGGCCACGGCUAACUACGU